Molecule: long non-coding RNA, 1840 nt
Organism: Lagenorhynchus albirostris (white-beaked dolphin)
Lineage: Eukaryota; Metazoa; Chordata; Mammalia; Artiodactyla; Delphinidae
Exons: 3
Source: RefSeq, a predicted model, not a curated record
GGCUAGGGGAGGACGGCCCUGUGCCGGGUCCGGCACUUCGCCAGGCCUCUGCCCUGCCGGGAGGCUGUGGACACUAUCAUUCUCUCCUCACGUGACAGGGAACUCAGUGAUGUCGCCGUUUGGAGGCUUGGGGGUGCGUUCUGGGCUUUGGAAGUAAAGGAAGCGGAACGCAGUAGGAAUGGGAGCCCCAAGGCGGACAGCCGCCCUGAGGAGCCGCACGAAUCCGCUGCUACCUUCCUGCACACCCACUCACGGCCGACUCCUGGCAGAGGGUUCUGGCGACCCCUGCACUCCCCGCUCUGUUAGUGUGAGCGUCUGGCAUCCUGAGCGCCCCAGCCAGCCUAGCCAUCCUGAUUUCUGUAUCAAAGGAUGUGGCAAGACCCAAGCAUGUGGGGCACCUUGCGUCAGAGGAAGUGGCUUUCUUGUUGCAGCAAAAAUUCCAUCACCCAUAUCAUGAAUGAAUCAGCAUACAGCUGGCCCUGGCGGUAUUCCUUGUGGUGGUGGAUUGCUCCCAUGGUUCCAGCUGGUAAAUGUCCUCCAGAAGCUUUCUUCUUCAUCCUAGCGGCAACUUCAUAAUUCCAUCUUCCCAAAACUUUUUAUCUUUUUGAGCAAAGAACCGUUCCAGGUACCUUUAACAGUCGUCCAGGGAAUUGAAAUUUUUUCCAUUAAGAGAAUUUUGUAAAGACCUAAAUAAGUGGAAAUCCGAAGGUGCGAUGUCUGGUGAUUACGAAGGAUGAAUCAGAACUUCCCAGCCAAGCUGUAACAGUUUUUGCCUGGUCAUCAAAGAAACAUGCGGUGUUGCCAUUAUCCUGAUAGAAGAUUAUGUGUUUUCUGUUGACUAAUUCUGGAUGCUUUUUGUCGAGUACUGCUUUCGGUUGGUCUAAUUGGGAGCAGUACUUGUUGGAAUUAAUCGUUUGGUUUUCUGGAAAGAGGUCAUAAUAGAGGACUCCCUUCCAAUCCCACCAUAUGCACAACAUCACGUUCUUUGGAUGAAGACCGGCCUUUGGUGUGGUUCAUUUCGCUUGCCCCACAAUCUCUUCCAUUCCACAUUAUUGUACAGUAUCCACUUUUCAUCGUCCGUCACAAUUUGUUUUAAAAAAAGAACGUUUUCAUUAUGUUUCAGUAGAAAAUCGCAUGUGGAAAUAUGGUCAAGAAGGUUUUUUUCGCUUAACUUAUGUGGAACCCAAACAUCAAAGCAAUUCACAUAACCAAGCUGGUGCAAAUGAUUUUCAAAGCUUGAUUUGGAUAUUUUGAGAAUGUCGGCUAUCUCCCGCGUGGUAUGACGUUGAUUGUUCUCAAUUAUUGUUUCGAUUUGAUCACUAUCAACUUCAACUGGUCUACCCGACUAUGGAGCAUCGUCCAGCAAGAAAUCUCCAGCACGAAACUUUGCAAACCACUUUUGACACAUUCGAUCAGUCACAGCACCUUCGCCAUACAUUGCACAAAUCUUCUUGUGCAUUUCAGUUGCAUUUUUACCCUUCUUGAAAUAAUAAAGCAUAAUAUCCUGAAAAUGUUGCUUUUUUUCUUCUAUCUUCAAUAUUAAAAUAGCUAUACAGGGCUUCCCUGGUGGCGCAGUGGUUAAGAAUCUGCCUGCCAAUGCAGGGGACAGGGGUUUGAGCCUUGGUCCAGGAAGAUCCCACAUGCUGUGGAGCAACUGUGUGCCACAACUGCUGAGCCUGCGAGCCACAACUACUUAGCCCAUGUGCCACAACUACUAAGCCCAUGUGCCACAACUACUGAAACCCAUGCACCUAGAGCCUGUGCUCCGCAACAAGAGAAGCCACCGCAGUGAGAAGCCCGUGCACUGCAACAAAGGUAGCCCCCGCUCGCCACAACUAGA